AGAGGGGUGCCUUGCAGGAGGUCUGGCCAGUGGGAAGAGCCAGCCCAGGGCUGCCCGGAGUGCGGUGAGUGCGGAGGGGUGGGCGCCAAGGCAGAGAGGCAGGCACCAAGGGGUGGUUUCAGGAGGAUGGGCCUCAGAUGUCCAGCAGAAACUGACUAGAAGCACCCAACUGGGAGAGAGGAGAAGUAGAAUCGGCCCAACAGCAGGCAGUAGCGGGGCUCAGGCGGACCUCAGGGGUAAAAACUGAUGAACCAAAUCAGGCGCCACAAACACAAAGCCGAAAGCAGACUGGUGGGGAGGCUGGUUCUAGGCUGGGAAGGUGUGCAGGAGACAAGCCCAAAGCAUCUUGAAGCAUCAGGAAGUCAGCAGGUGCCCAAAAGAAACCCCAUGACUAGGGGGUCACGUCAGGGGGACACAGGGGUAACUGAAAGAGUGGCCGGUAGUCAGAGCUGCAGCAACCUGGGCACCGUGGUAAAUACAGUGAUAUCAUAGCGUAACCCAAAUUGUAAAGUAAAUCUCCAUGCAUGCAUAUUGAUAGGAAUGAAAGGCUGAAUAAAUAAAUAAGUGGGAUAGAACAGACAAAGCUCACAUGCAGAAUUCCAAAUAACUAUGUCUUCUGCCCUCAAGGAGGUGAGAGCGGAAUGUAAAUCCCCCCACAAGGGUGGACAGUGCUGUGACUUCUCUCCAGAGAGGAUGGCAUGGAAAGGGGUGGGAAGCCCUUGAGCCCUUCCCCUGCCAGAUGAUCAAGGUCCAGACGCACAGUGGGGAGUCCUGAUGGCAGGAUGUACCUCCCCUGCUAGGCUGUGGCCAGCCCUGUGGUCCCCCUCCCCAGACCCACAAUCUCCAUCCGACCCUGAGAAAAACAUCAGACAAUGAGGAACAUUCUACGAAACACCUGGCCAGUCUCCUCAACACUGUCAAGGUCACUCAGAGCAAAGAAAGUCUGAGAAACCAUCACAGACAAGAGCCCCAGAAGACCUAACAACUAAAUGUAACGUGACGUCUCAGAUGGGAUCCUGGGACUGGAAAGGAAAGUCAUGUUAAGAACUACGGGAACCUGAAUGAAGUGUGGACUUUGAUAAAUAAUAAGUGUUCACUGUUGGCUCAUUAUUUGUGACAAAGGUCCCAGACUACUAUGUAAGACACUGAUAAGAGGGGACAUGGAAU
Molecule: long non-coding RNA, 1167 nt
Filed under: Marmota monax (woodchuck)
Lineage: Eukaryota; Metazoa; Chordata; Mammalia; Rodentia; Sciuridae
Source: RNAcentral